RNAcentral lists this ribosomal RNA (681 nucleotides) under Newbya spinosa. RNAcentral's name for it is "LSU rRNA". It matches the Rfam family "Eukaryotic large subunit ribosomal RNA", at positions 54 to 637 of the family's 3401-position model. The record is from RNAcentral. Lineage: Eukaryota; Oomycota; Saprolegniomycetes; Saprolegniales; Saprolegniaceae.
GAGAAAAGAAACUAACAAGGMUCCCCCAGUAACGGCGAGUGAAGCGGGAAGAGCUCAAGCUUAAAAUCUCCAUGUUUACAUGGCGAAUUGUAGUCUAUUGAGGCUGUUGUCAGCAUAGCGAUCUGGGAAAAGUCCCUUGGAAAAGGGCAGCAUAGAGGGUGAUACUCCCGUCUUUGCUCAGAUUGUCUGUGUGUACGAUACGCUUUCUUUGAGUCGAGUUGUUUGGGAAUACAGCUCAAAGUAGGUGGUAAAUUCCAUCUAAAGCUAAAUAUUGGUGCGAGACCGAUAGCGAACAAGUACCGUGAGGGAAAGAUGAAAAGAACUUUGAAAAGAGAGUUAAAGAGUACCUGAAACUGUUGAAAGGGAACCGUAUCGUUUCCAGUGUUGUAUCCUAUGCAUAUUUCAUUGGCGGAGUAAUUUGCUGGUGCCCUGUGCAUGGGUGUGACGUCAGAGUCAGUUUGUAUGCUGCGGGAGAUGGUUAGUGAGGAGGUGCGUCACUUCGGUGAAAGUUAUACCUUGCUAUCUAGUUGCCGUGGUUGAGACUGAGGUGCCUACAACAUGCCCUGGGGUUCAGUGCUGCCUCGUUUUGGUGACUGCUUGGAUAGCUUGCUAUGUCUGUGGUUAAUCAGGGCGAUUGGUGGUGCUGAAAACCUCUGCUGUUCGGGACUCUGGCGAAAUGGA